Long non-coding RNA from Bos taurus (domestic cattle), 428 nucleotides. The record is from Ensembl. NCBI's taxonomy places the organism in Eukaryota, Metazoa, Chordata, Mammalia, Artiodactyla, Bovidae.
GGGUCAGGAAUAUCCCCUGGAGAAGGAAAUAGCAAUCCACUCCAGUAUUCUUGCCUGGAGAAUCCCAUGGACAGAGGGGCCUGCUGGGCUACAGUCCCUGGUGUUGCAAAGAGUCAGCUAACACUUUCAUCUGCCCUCCAGUUGACCUGCAUGGCCGUGUAAUAGAGCAAGACCAUGACAAGCUGUCAUCACUGAGCUGGGCAUGAUGAAAGCAAGACCAGAAGGGAGUACCCGCCACAUUGUGAUCUGGACUCCCCUGAUGAUGGUAGCCUAGACUGCCUCCAACUUCUCAUCACCGUGAAACGAUGGGGCCAUGAGCCUCCUUGCACAUGCCACUAGGGACCUGUGAAAGAAUUUCUUUGGGAUAUGUGCCCAGGAAUGAAAUUACUGGGUCACAUGGGAAAUACAUUCUUCAUUUAACUAAACAG